Molecule: long non-coding RNA, 542 nt
Organism: Cercocebus atys (sooty mangabey)
Lineage: Eukaryota; Metazoa; Chordata; Mammalia; Primates; Cercopithecidae
Exons: 3
Source: RefSeq, a predicted model, not a curated record
GGGGACCAGAGUCAGGGUCCCCAGCAGGAGCGACGACUGGUCGAGGUUGGCGGUGGCACUGCCCACUUGCACUGCGCCCAGUGCGCCCCCGUGCGCUGGGUGUACCCUAGACCAGGGAGCGCUCAGGCCCCGCCGGGGGCGCGGAGACCUGGCGGGGUAACUCGGAGGUCUACGGGAAGGCUAGAAAGAGGAGAGCGGAGACCCCAGGACAUCCCUCCCCCGCCGCCACCUAAAUCAGACUGAGGCUGAGAGAAUUAACCGAGUCGGAAGAGGAGUAAACAGCCCUGCCUCUGGCUCCAGCUGUCCCGCCAGAGAACGCGCAGCGGAAACCCCGAGGGUGAGAAUGAGGACGAGCCUCGAGCUGCGUGAACCCGGGCGCCCAGUAGGCUCUCAGGAAUCGCCGGCUUGUAGGUGGACGCCGAGCCUGAAAGUGAGGAGCCUGGGUCGUGCAUGCGAAAAUCAACAUGGGACUCUAAAUAAAACGAGUUUCUGCAGGCAUUCAUUCAUUCAACAGAUGAACGCCCACGGUCCUCAUCACCUCU